Molecule: ribosomal RNA, 1343 nt
Filed under: uncultured bacterium
Lineage: Bacteria
Description: 16S ribosomal RNA
Rfam family: Bacterial small subunit ribosomal RNA
Source: RNAcentral
GACGAACGCUGGCGGCGUGCUUAACACAUGCAAGUCGAACGGAAAGGCCCUGCUUUUGUGGGGUGCUCGAGUGGCGAACGGGUGAGUAACACGUGAGCAACCUGCCCUUGACUUUGGGAUAACUUCAGGAAACUGGGGCUAAUACCGGAUAGGAGCUCCUGCUGCAUGGUGGGGGUUGGAAAGUUUCGGCGGUUGGGGAUGGACUCGCGGCUUAUCAGCUUGUUGGUGGGGUAGUGGCUUACCAAGGCUUUGACGGGUAGCCGGCCUGAGAGGGUGGCCGGCCACAUUGGGACUGAGAUACGGCCCAGACUCCUACGGGAGGCAGCAGUGGGGAAUAUUGCACAAUGGGCGGAAGCCUGAUGCAGCAACGCCGCGUGCGGGAUGACGGCCUUCGGGUUGUAAACCGCUUUCGCCUGUGACGAAGCGUGAGUGACGGUAAUGGGUAAAGAAGCACCGGCUAACUACGUGCCAGCAGCCGCGGUGAUACGUAGGGUGCGAGCGUUGUCCGGAUUUAUUGGGCGUAAAGGGCUCGUAGGUGGUUGAUCGCGUCGGAAGUGUAAUCUUGGGGCUUAACCCUGAGCGUGCUUUCGAUACGGGUUGACUUGAGGAAGGUAGGGGAGAAUGGAAUUCCUGGUGGAGCGGUGGAAUGCGCAGAUAUCAGGAGGAACACCAGUGGCGAAGGCGGUUCUCUGGGCCUUUCCUGACGCUGAGGAGCGAAAGCGUGGGGAGCGAACAGGCUUAGAUACCCUGGUAGUCCACGCUGUAAACGGUGGGUACUAGGUGUGGGGUCCAUUCCACGGGUUCCGUGCCGUAGCUAACGCUUUAAGUACCCCGCCUGGGGAGUACGGCCGCAAGGCUAAAACUCAAAGGAAUUGACGGGGCCCCGCACAAGCGGCGGAGCAUGCGGAUUAAUUCGAUGCAACGCGUAGAACCUUACCUGGGUUUGACAUGGAUCGGGAGUGCUCAGAGAUGGGUGUGCCUCUUUUGGGGUCGGUUCACAGGUGGUGCAUGGCUGUCGUCAGCUCGUGUCGUGAGAUGUUGGGUUAAGUCCCGCAACGAGCGCAACCCUUGUUCACUGUUGCCAGCACGUUAUGGUGGGGACUCAGUGGAGACCGCCGGGGUCAACUCGGAGGAAGGUGGGGAUGACGUCAAGUCAUCAUGCCCCUUAUGUCCAGGGCUUCACGCAUGCUACAAUGGCUGGUACAGAGAGUGGCGAGCCUGUGAGGGUGAGCGAAUCUCGGAAAGCCGGUCUCAGUUCGGAUUGGGGUCUGCAACUCGACCUCAUGAAGUCGGAGUCGCUAGUAAUCGCAGAUCAGCAACGCUGCGGUGAAUAAGUUCCCGGG